RNAcentral lists this ribosomal RNA (497 nucleotides) under uncultured bacterium. Its description in RNAcentral is "partial 16S ribosomal RNA". It matches the Rfam family "Bacterial small subunit ribosomal RNA", at positions 28 to 507 of the family's 1533-position model. The record is from RNAcentral.
GAUGAACGCUGGCGGCGUGCCUAAUACAUGCAAGUCGAGCGAACGGACGAGAAGCUUGCUUCUCUGAUGUUAGCGGCGGACGGGUGAGUAACACGUGGAUAACCUACCUAUAAGACUGGGAUAACUUCGGGAAACCGUAGCUAAUACCGGAUAAUAUUUUGAACCGCAUGGUUCAAAAGUGAAAGACGGUCUUGCUGUCACUUAUAGAUGGAUCCGCGCUGCAUUAGCUAGUUGGUAAGGUAACGGCUUACCAAGGCAACGAUGCAUAGCCGACCUGAGAGGGGGAUGGGCCACAAGGGAACUGAGACACGGUCCAAACUCCGACGGGAGGAAGCAGUAGGGAAUCUUCCGCAAUGGGCGAAAGCCUGACGGAGAAACGCCGCGUGAGGGAUGAAGGUCUUCGGAUCGAAAAACUCUGUUAUUAGGGAAGAACAUAUGUGUAAGUAACUGGGCACAUCUGGACGGUACCUAAUCAGAAAGCCACGGCUAACUACGUG